RNAcentral lists this long non-coding RNA (4553 nucleotides) under Fukomys damarensis (Damara mole-rat). Its description in RNAcentral is "lncRNA (ENSFDAG00000032563.1)". Lineage: Eukaryota; Metazoa; Chordata; Mammalia; Rodentia; Bathyergidae. The record is from RNAcentral.
CGCGGGAGGAGGGGACCCGGGCCCCACAUUACCAUUUUGAUUGCUUCGAUGCCAUUUUUGGAGGGGGAGGGGUCGGAAGACCCUUCUCUGCCGAGCACAAAGAUGUUUAAUCACCGUGCAGAAUCAAAUCAAAUACUUUCUUUAAAAAAAAUUACCACCGAAUCUGGUAUAGUAAGAUCGCUGAGUUUUUACGAAGCCUAUUUUUACUGGGUGAAACGGCAAGUUGUUGACUAUGCUCAGAGUAGAUUUGAGAGAGAGAAAGGGACUCCAGUAACCCCGCAGCUCUCCUUGCAACAAUGUAUUUUUCUGUUCGCCUUGCGUGCAAUAGUUUCACUAUGUGGAGCGGCUGUUCUGAGCUCAGCUCUGUCGACUGCCGGCACAGAAUUUUGGGAGAUCUGGAAGGAAAGAUCAGGAACAGAAUACCUACUUCACAUGCUUUUUCUUGAAAAAAAAAAAAAAAAGCUUUUGUUGAAAAAAGAUAACAGGAUAAACAGUCCUACCAUCCUCCAAAUUAUAUUGAUAAGUCACAGAGUGAGAGGUAGCAGGAAGGAGCCAGCAUGUGCCGUCUAUGACCUGGAGGAGGCUGGCAGCUCUGCCUGUUGCAACGGCCACUUCCUGGACAUCCCCAUGUCAUCUCAGAUGUGUGCUCAAGUCUGCACAGCUGUUGGAGUAUUCAUAGCAUCACAGCUGGGCUUGCCGUGGCUGCUGUUUGUCAGGUAGUCCACACCAAAGGAGCCAGAGCUGUUCAUGUGGCCCCACUGCAGACCUGUGCAGGCUGCACCAGGCACUGUAGGUGCAGAAGGAUCCUGGCUCUGUCCUUCUGGGGUUGGUUCCAUGAAGCAUGAGGCUUCGUGGGAGGGUGCUUGGCAGCACCGGGAAAGGCCCAAACUUGAAGAAAGACUUUCAGAAUUCGAAGUGUCUCAGUCAGAUGAUGAUUUGGGGGAAGUGAGGCUGGGAACUGGGGAGAUGCAUGCUCCUGGGGUCUCCAGAUGCAGGGGCUACUGCAGAGUCCACCCAGAUCACUGGCCCAGCUGGUCCCCUGGUGGAGGUGUCCUUGUUCUACAGAGUGAAGCCACAGCAGUCCAGAGCCUGCAGAUGGGUCCGGGAGAUUGGAUGGGCCUUUUCAGGCGUUUCCUGUGUCAGGAAAUGCUGGUGAAAACCAGGGAGGUUCUGUCUCAUCCCUCCUGAUUACAUGGCAGGAGGCUGCGGUGUCUGGGGCUGGUGAUAGUCAGAGUGCCGGUGGCCGGCAAGUGGAGCAUCCGCGGGGUGGCCCGGAGUCCCCGUGGGGUUGCAGUCAGGUGCGUACGUACAUCCUGCCUGCGGAAUAUCUUCCAGGCGUCUACCCUAGGGCAGCGCUUACAUCGCACGCUGGUUCUGAGUUCACCGACCCACCUGAGGGAACAAGAUAAGCACGAGUGGAGGGGACCUAGCUGCCCACUGGUGACAAUAGAUCAAUCACAUGUUCACCAGUGUAGGUGGGCCGAGACUGUGAAAGGGCGGGUGCUAGGCCGUGCAUACCACCCCCGUGACGCUCGGGGACGUGCGGUGUGGCCCACAGAGGGUGCUGAGGAAGACUUCUUCACGCAGUUCUGUGUCUGCAGAGUUCAAGAACAUGCAAAACAAAAUACGCUCUUUGCCAUACACGGUAAACUACAAAGAAAAGUGGGAAAUGAUGCGUAUGAAAUGGCCGUGAUUACCUGUAAGGGGAGGCGGUCCUCAAAGCUAGCGUUCAUUUUCUUAAGCUAAGUAUUGUUAGUUUUGAGACGUAACGUGUCUUACAGUUUUUCGUCUCUCUCCAGUACAGCCUAAAGCAAGCACGCGUGUUUUGAGUGGGCCUGUGCACGUGGGCCUCCCGGUCAGAGUCAGGGGUGCCCUACGGCCUCUAGGCCCAGGACCCCAGCUUCUCGGAGGAAGAAUGUUGGGCAGCUUUCAGAGUCAAGACAAAACGGCUGCGCAUGAAACCAGCUGUGUAAAUGUGUGACAGUGUUGCCUUUUGCUCGUGCAAGUGACGCAUGCACUUUUUUUUAAACCGAGGUAAAAAUCUGGACGUGAAACCAAACAGAUUAGCGCCCUCUCCUGGGAAAGGCAGGAGUAGACCUUGGGCUCCCUAGGCGCGAGGCCCCAAUGGGCUCCGCGGUUUCAGCACCACGGACAGCGCAGAAGGGCUGGACAGCCCCCUUGGGGAAGAGGGUGGUGCAGCUAGGUCAGAAGCCCUGUGUGUGUCAGAGGGGAGGGGCUGCAGGAUGGUCGGGGGAAGCUGGAGUGAGCGGGGCAGGGCGGGAAGGUGCCAGAUUAGUUCCGCUUGUUGCUGUCCUGCGACUCACGAGAAGCGCCCAUUCGUGGUGACCGUCCUACUGUGGAGGCUGGCUGGAGGGUCAGGAGCCCCAGUGUGAUCCCACUGCCACCUGCCACCACUGCCUGCCCGGGGCCGGAGGUGGACACCAAGGCCAGGCAGGUCCGGGUAGGAGCACCGUUGGAGGGAGCUGGAGUGUCUCAGCCAGGAGCUUGGGUCCUUGACCCUCAGUCGUAAGAGGAAAGGUGGGCUGGAUGCAAAGGAAGGGGGCGGCUGAUGGUGGUGGUAGGACUCAAGUCUCUACUCUCACAGGUCUUUGGCUGAGAACGAAAAUGGAGAAGCAGGUGGAGGAGGCCCGAGUAGAGAGAAGAGGGUGGGGGUCGGCUACCCAGGAGAGCUGGGCAGGCUGUGGCUCUGCACAGAUAAUUUCUGAGGGUUCUCUAGUCUUUAAACUCUAGGACAGUGCUUCCCACCGUCACAGCACCCAUUUAUUAACUCACAUUUCAUGUUGAUUUACUCGCUCGAUGAUUGGCUACCGAGCAAUGUUACAUGACCCAAAUUCCCAGGAGCAGAACGCUGUACCGUUCAUUCACUGAAAUAUCUAUAUCUCCAUACACCUCUCUGGUCUUACUAAAUCUAAAUCCUAAUCGCACCUGACAGCUCUGAUUUCAGCAACAGACCCAGUGUGGGCGCUUCCUCCUCUUGCCCUCUGGGGAGCUGUCUCUCCUCUGAUCCCUGGUCCGAUGUGCGUGCACUGUACAGCACUGGGCUGCUUCGAGCGCCGGUUGGGCCGUGGCAGCGGUGAGGACGGCACAUUUGUCAGCAUUAAAACGGGACACCAAUCGCAUGGAUGUAGGACUCAGUAUGGUAUGGCACCAGCACACGUGGUAACCAGUUCGUCUGUGGCCCCAGCUGAGGUUCACGGUGCUGCCGAGCUGGGCCCAGAGAUCCAGGACAUCAGAGCUGGGUGUCACAUCAGCGUCAGAGUAUUCGUACCCAUGUUGUUCCUGCUCACUCUGCUUGAUUUUCCCUACUCGCCUCUCUGGCUUAUCCCUGCGAAUCCCUUAAGGCUCCACCUCCCCCACAGAGCCUUCCCAGACUUCGCAGCACUGGUUUAGACUUUCCCCAGAUGACCCACAGCUUCUGGGCGCAGGGGCCACAGAGUCCCUCGGUGCUCUCGCCACACGGCUCAUGGUGCCUUGCCAAACCCACUGCUUUGUACACAUCGCUGUUUCAAAGGGAUGCUCCGUGUCUCCCACAAAGCGUGAGGGGAUUUUUCUGUGAUCUGCACUUAGAGAACCAGGUGGGAUUCCAGCAGGGGAAACCCAUGAAUAGAAUGCGGGCCCCUGGGAGGUUUUCACUCCUGCCGGUCUGCACACAGCUUUGAGUUUGGUUGGAGUCACAGAAGGAUCCUCCCACUUCUUGGCCCCAACAACUUCUUGCACUGACUUCGGUUUUUUUCUCCAGAUUUGUCCCAGGACUUCGAAUGGGAUGGAUCUAAGAAGUCACUGGUUCCCAGUUUGCUCAGCUUCCUCCUUGUUUGGGGGUGGAUGUAAAGACUGCCCAUCUGGAGGUUGGUGUGAGGAAGUCACAUGGGCUUGCAUGGUUUCCUUUUCCUCCUCCACUGCCCAGGUGUCUGAGGACCUCCAGGGUGCUGCCCCCGGGGCUGCUGAGUUCAGGUCAGAAGUUCUGACCCCCUAGGGCUGUGGUUAGUAGAGACAGGCAGCAGGGUUUAGUCCUGUCUGCCCUUAAUGCUGAUGACAAGCUGAGGGUCCUCACCCUGGAGCGGGAGCUUAUUUUUGUGACAGUGAUGGUCACUGGGUGUCACUUUACCAGCCGGAAAGACAGCCAGCAUGGUGGGCAGGGCAUGCCCUGCCUGCGCCUUCCCUCCUUCCUGCUGCUCUCUCCUGUGCCCCUCCCUUCCCUUGGUCCUCCAGGUACCAGGCCAGUGCUAGCACCUGAGUUAUCUGGCAGCAAACACGUGGCCCGUGACCCCAGGGGACAGGCAUACAGCCAGGAGGAUGGCUGGGGGUGGAAUGACACUUGUCUCCAGAGAUCAGCUUUUUGCAGUGGGGUCUGUGGAGUGCUCUGCCAGUGUUUGUAGACUGGCUAUGUUCGGCCCCGUGCAGUGCACCCUGAGCUGGCCCACGCUGAGGCAGGCACACGGCUACCACCAGCCUCGUUGGUUCACUUAGGAAGUUGUCUCAGCUCAGACUCGGUUUCAGACAUGUGGGCUUUUCAGGGUUCUCCCCCAUACCCC